Molecule: ribosomal RNA, 253 nt
Filed under: uncultured bacterium
Lineage: Bacteria
Description: partial 16S ribosomal RNA
Rfam family: Bacterial small subunit ribosomal RNA
Source: RNAcentral
UACAGAGGGGGCAAGCGUUGUUCGGAAUUACUGGGCGUAAAGGGCGCGUAGGCGGCCUGCUAAGUCGAACGUGAAAUCCCCGAGCUCAACUCGGGAACUGCGUCCGAUACUGGCAGGCUUGAAUCCGGGAGAGGGAUGCGGAAUUCCAGGUGUAGCGGUGAAAUGCGUAGAUAUCUGGAGGAACACCUGAGGUGAAGACGGGUUGCUGGGCUGACACUGACGCUGAGGCGCGAAAGCUAGGGUAGCAAACGGG